AAAUGCCUGAAGUGAGCCAGCAAUUCUGUAACAAUCAUAACUAGAAUCUAGUUCUCAAGUUUUACCCAUUCAGACCUUGGUUCCUUCAGAUAUCGUACAUUCUAGCUCUGCUUGCAUAGUGUGAAAGAAAUUGGAUUGCUUACUGAAAAAUGAACCUGACCUGUCACAGCAAUUCUGGACUUACUUGGACUCCUGAUGUCAAUUCUGUUGUCAUAUGCAUUGAAGCUUCGCAAUGACAGGAGAUUAAACAAAUGGGAGGAGAAUUCCAGGAAAUGAAAAAGUCAUACGAAGAAGAGUUAUGUUCUACAGCCAAGCCCAAGUUAAAAAAUAAUCAACUGAACCUUCACAUUCUUUGAGUGCCUCUCUCGUUGGAGGACCAACUUCUGUCUUGAUGAAUGAAUCUCCUGGGAGAAGCAAUCCAUUUUUAUAAACAUUCUCAGAAGACAAUUUCAACUAUACCAGCUCUACUUCCAUAUUCAGUUCCCCUGCACAUCGGAGGAAAAAAAAAUCAAACUGUUCAGGUGAAACAGAAGACCAUCUAUUCUUCAGUAACCAAAGAAUCUAUACAAUUCUAGCAGAAUCAUCUUUCUUGAAAGGCUCAUAUGGUUUUAAAUAGCAAUUUUUCCCCUUGAUACUAAAUGUGUAAUAAUGGGAAAAAGAAUUAACCUUUCUGAAGCUACAAUGGAGUACACCUGAAGUAUCUUACUUUAUACUUUGUUGAAGAUUCUGUGUGUCCUCAAGGUCUACAGCAACCAUCAACCCGUAGAUCUCCCCAAAAAUCUUUGUCCUUGAACCAGUAGAACUUCUUUCUGCAUUAUAGGUGGUAAAAGAGCUUGAAUUCCCAAUAUAAAAGGCCAAAAGUCCAGGCUUUAAGAUUAUAGAAUCUGAGACUCUAGCUUAGAUUUAGGAUAUUUAAUAAGAUAAUUGACAGCUUCAAUAAGCAUACUAAAAUGAAACAAACUGCGUGGUACCAUGGGUAUAAUACAAACGUUAAAGGAUGAACACUUUUGGAUAUCAGGAUCUCACUGCAUUGCUGACAAUAUAUGCAACAACUUGUGACAGAGCCUGGCAACAUCAGCUCAGUUUCUCCGUUUUCUCAUUCAUGAAAUGGGGAAAACAGCUGCAAUUUCAUUACAUGGUUGCAGUGAGAGCUAAAUGGUUUAACUCAUAUAAAGUUUACGUGAGUGUCUGGUCUAUACUGUGUUCAAUAAUGUUAGCGAAAGUUGCUAUUGCUUUAAGGAAAAUGAGUCAAAAUGAUUGAUUUGCUAAAGGUCCCACAUCUAGUGAAAGUAAAACUAGAAUUUAAUCCCUGCUCUUUCCUUCUGUGCUAAAAUAUAAAACUAAAAUGUGGUCAGGGAUUGGGGGAGGGAUAUAACUGAAAAAUCACAGGUUCUUCAGCCACAGAGGCAACUAACAUAGGAUUAACAAACACUUUUCAAAUUCAUUUUACCAUUCUGUUUCCAUUAUGAUAAAAACAUAGACAAAGGAUAUAAAGUAGAACUUCUUCACAUACUCUGCUCACUAGCAUAUUGCUGUGUUAUCAUAUGCAACUUACUCUUGGGUAUUUUGAAAAUAAGUUUAAAAUCUAAAAUAUUCAGAAUCCAACUUCAUGUUCUCCCAUUUUCCUACAUAAACCAUCUGCUCUAUUCAAGCUAAAAUUAGUCAAUUAAUUAAUACGAUUUAUUGUCAGAAAUUCUUUGGUUCAUUUUUUUAACUGAAUGAAGUGUUAACCAUGUGCCAGCUUCUUUGCCAGAGUAUUGAGAUAUAAAUGUAUAUAAAGUAACAUUAUGUCCAUUGUAUAGGUGAAAACAAAAUGAGACAAGAAGAAUUUGUAAUUUGCUUUAAAGGCACAAGUAAUUGCUUAAAGAGGUUAUUGACAAAAGAGGUGUUUUACUCACACCUUAAAGAACAUAAAAAACUAAAUAACAAAAGGAUAUAAGCAACACCAUGAAAUACUUAGGAUGCUCCUAACACAGCUUUUAUAUAGUAUUGGUUCAUUUGAAAAGAAUUUGCUGGAUAGCAAUGACAUUUCGUUGACCUUAUGUGGUGCUCAUUGUGAAGGCGAAGGUUGGCAGCUUGGUUACUGCAUGAUUACUCUACUCUUCUAUAUUCUAUCCCAAUCUCUGACUCCACUUCCAUGUGGACUAUAGAAGUGUGCACACAAAAAUAGAAACUAUUUUCGUGGUAUUCUAGAAGGAAAGGCAGACCUGAAAAAAGUUCCUCAUAGAAGAUACCUCCCAAGUCUCUCACUGUCUGCUACUAGUAUUUUUUAAAGCUGUUCAUUGAGAAUACCGAUUCAGAGUUUUUGGGGGAGGUCCAGCUGCACUGAGGUACAAUUUAUAUACAAUAAAAUUCCACAUAUAUAACUCAAUGAGUCUUAGGGUCACAGAUCUCAUUUAUGAAUUUGAUCGAAUCCAGGAAGACUCUCCCUUUUAAAAAUGCACAUAUGGCCAAUAUUUUAUUUAAAAUCACAAAGACUUCACAGAUAUACUAAAGUUUAUCCAGGCACGCUCACAGAUAGAUCCUAAGAACCUCGAUCAAGAAAUAGCAAAGCACCUAAGGGAGUCAUAUUCAAGUAAAAAUUAUUUUCAGGUUAAACAGUUUACCCCUCAUCCUAUCAAUAGGAUAACGAGUAUUCUUUAAGCUCACUUUAUUGAGUAUUCAUUUGAUUUUAUAUAGAGAGUAUUCAAAAAAUUGGCAUAUGUAAUACCAAAAUGUAUAUUCAGAGUACACAUACAGGACACACUUUGCAUGCAUUCCACUUAAGGUUACUGCUUGCAAAAAAAAGACUUGUGUGGUCAGUGCUUUUCACAAUUCAAAUGUAUUAAUUUUAACUUUUUCUAGUAAAUAUAUUUAUAGUGGACGAUAUGUGAUAAUAAAAUUAAGAGUAACAACUGAAAGAAAACUAAUUUUUGUAAAAUAUCCAUCCAUCUAUUUGGGUAAUUCUUCUGCAAUUCCAU
Molecule: long non-coding RNA, 2960 nt
Filed under: Homo sapiens (human)
Lineage: Eukaryota; Metazoa; Chordata; Mammalia; Primates; Hominidae
Description: HSALNT0160125
Source: RNAcentral